Molecule: ribosomal RNA, 440 nt
Filed under: uncultured bacterium
Lineage: Bacteria
Description: partial 16S ribosomal RNA
Rfam family: Bacterial small subunit ribosomal RNA
Source: RNAcentral
ACUACGGGAGGCAGCAGUGGGGGAUAUUGCACAAUGGGGGAAACCCUGAUGCAGCGACGCCGCGUGUAGGAAGACGGUCCUCUGGAUUGUAAACUACUGUCCCCAGGGACGAAGAUGACGGUACCUGGGGAGGAAGCUCCGGCUAACUACGUGCCAGCAGCCGCGGUAAUACGUAGGGAGCGAGCGUUGUCCGGAAUUACUGGGUGUAAAGGGAGCGUAGGCGGGGAUGCAAGUUGGGUGUUAAAUCUACCGGCUCAACUGGUAGUCGCACUCAAAACUGCAGCUCUUGAGUGAAGUAGAGGCAGGCGGAAUUCCUAGUGUAGCGGUGAAAUGCGUAGAUAUUAGGAGGAACACCAGUGGCGAAGGCGGCCUGCUGGGCUUUUACUGACGCUGAGGCUCGAAAGUGUGGGGAGCAAACAGGAUUAGAUACCCGGGUAGUC